AUGCACACCUGGGGCUCCUUGCUCAACAGUUACAAAGAUUUCAAAAUGCAUGCUGGCCGUGUGCCGGUUUCAACCCUCUCCUCCCACGUGACGACUCAGCGUGGGGUCAGGGGCCUGUGCGGAGUCCAGGGCCCCGUGAUCUAUGGGGUGCAUCACCAGCCAGCGCCACUACCCGAAUGCCGUAGGCCUGACGGCCACAUCUGCAGUGGGGCGGCGGUGACAGGUGCUCUCAGGCAUGGCAAGGACAGAGUCCGCGGGGCGGGAAGGAAGCUGGGGGAGAAGAGCGGGGCAGGGAGAGGGGUGUUCCGCGUCGGGAUCUCACACGUGAGGCUCCGCAGUUCUUUCUUUUCUCUGGACAGUCUCGCUACGCGGUUCAGGCUGGGUUUUGUGCAAGUGAGACUAGGGCCCAGUCAUCACCCCACCACUGCAGCCAGGCCUCCAGCGGCCUUUCCCUGGGACUGCCCAGCCAGGACCCCCGCCACCUGCACCUUCUCAAGGGAGGGGACUCCCCGCCUCACUGAAGAUGCUCACGGUGGACCCAGAAUCCCCUGCUUCCGACAAGCCUCGUUAAAAUGAGCUGCUGCUGCGGCCUCCGAAGGACGAGGGCCAGGAGGCUGCCAGCCUGUGGGACUCAGGGAACCCCGAGGCGGGGCGGGGGCUCCCUGGCGGCACUGCGGCUGUCGCUUUUGAGAGCUGCCUCGGCACACGUGGCCUGGCACGUAGGCUGCUGUGCAGCCCCCGCCCCGUGGCUGCCUCCAGAUCCCAGGCAGAGCAAGGGCGAGCCGCCCAGCCCCAGAAGUGAGGUGGGAUAGGUAACCACGAGGUGCGGGGUAUACCUAAACACUGUCCUUUCCAGAAGACUGCAACUUCAGGAACCACCCAGAGCACCCCGCCGCACGCCCCCGCCAGGCAUCCGUAUCAACACUCCUUUGGGUACAGUAGAUGUUAGUUCCCUCCCAGAACCAUCGCACCCCAAAUUCUCCAGAGAUACUGCAAGCCCCUCAGCUGGCUUCACUGAGCAAGGAAGGAGCAAGAGCCUCACCCCGAGAUAAAGGAGCAGGGUGAGCAAACCAAAGAAUGCUUAACAUCCCUAUUUCAGUAAAAGGAGGAGAAAGUGAGACACGGAGACACUAUAAAGUGGGCUAGUGCCUUGGGGGGCCCCCUCUCCCCGGGCUUUUCCACCCCUUAAAGAGAAGUGUUCCAGUCCCACACUGGGUGGCACCUCCUUUCUGAAUGCUGCACCCCACGCUCAAGUGCACCUUAAACCUCUAAUACAUGCUUUCCACGCUUCUUACUAACUUGUCCUGAAAAUUUCUUCCAAGACAGUCAUCAGUGAACCUGCUACAAAAGGGUGGCUUACACGCCUGACUCCGGCUCCAGGACACUCCAGACCUGCCCGGAGAUGAGUGAGCGGAGUGGGGUCAAACAUGGGGGCAGACGGUGACACUCCCAAGAAUUGUCAGGACACUGCGAGAGGAGAAACGGGGUCACAGCGUCGGGGCUCGAGCAGCCCGGAAGCUUGGCUCCCCCUUAGUGCAGCAGUGAGCCUGGACAGGGGCUGGGGAGAUCCCCACACGGCCACCCAGAAGGCCACACUUGUUACCGAGCAGCCAUAGAAGCCUUUGACUCAAUAAAAACCUCACUUGGAAAGCAAAUACGAAAAUUUUGUUUUGUUUUUGUUUGUCUUUUUGAGACAGGGUCUCACUAUGCAGUUCAGGCUGGCCUUGAGCUCACUAUGUAGUCCAGGCUGGUCUCAAACUCGCAACGAUCCUCCUGCCUCAGCCUCCUGAGUGCUGGGGUUACAAGGGUGCUUCACCAUGCCUGGCUCAAUAUUGUUUUGUGUGGGGCUGUGCAGGACACCUGGCUGGGUGACCAAGUGCAGGCUCGGACAAGUCACAAGUCACAUCCCCGGUCCCUGGGCUCUCUCGAGUUCCUGCUGUGUGAGGCUCCCAUGUCUCUGCUCUCGCCGCCUCCGCCCCCGCUCCUGUCCCCCACUCUGCUGCAGCACGACCCAGUGACCUUCACCGGGCCUUAUAUUUCAAGGGCACAAAGCAGGAUAUUCGACAGUGCUCUCUGGGCUUGACAGGUGUCGGUGUAAAUGAGAGUACUUUCAACACUCCCUGACAUUUAUUAAUCUCUUCCUUUUCUUCUGCCUUUCUGAGAGAAAGCAACAAUAGCUAACUAAAAUUUAUGGAUACUGUUUUGUUUUUAUCCUGUAGUUUUUACUCCUUAAUUCUAUUCAGUGACAAAUGAGUUAUUUUGUUCAUGACAUAAAAAAAUCACAAUGACAGCUGGGUGCAGUGGCACAUUCCUGUAGUCUCAGCUGCCUGGGAGGCUGAGGCAGGAGAAUGACAAGUUUGAAGCCAGCCUGGGCAACUCAGAUCAUGUUUCAAAAUAAAAUUUUAAAAAGGGGGUGGAAUAUAGUUCAGUGGUAGGGUACUUGCUUAAGUAUGUGAGCGCCUGGGUUUAAUUCCAGUGCAGAGACACACACACACACACACACACACACACAAUUACAAUGGUCAGCAAAGGACUGAUGUUUGGGAACCAUGGCUCCUAAACUGAACAGGAUUUGGAUUGUGAUCUGAGCUUCAGCUUGAACCAGAGAGAGAGGCCCUGUGGACCGAGUCAAGGCCCAUGAAGGGCCUGGGGGUCCUUGUGGGCACUUGGGCUGCCCAUACUCCAGCCUCCAGGAAGUGACCUGGAGACGCAGAGCUGAGUAUGGGCUCUGGCUGGGGCAGAGGAGUCGGGUGAGUUCUGGAAAGCCGGGGAAGCUGGCUCAGGUAGCCCUGGGCUCCUGCAGCAGUUCUGAGAUUUGCUACGGGCCCUGAGAGAGAAAGAGCUGGCUGAGCAGCUCAGCGCAAGUUUAACGCCUGGGCGGGUGCCUCACCCGUUAAGAACUCAGCACUGGGGCUGGGGAUGUAGCUCCGGGCGGUGGAGCGCUUGCCUAGUGUGCAAGGUCUUGGGCUCCAUCCCAGCAUCACCGAAAACAAAUACAAACAACCAAACCAAAACACUCAUCGCUAGGGUCUGCCUCCUGGAAGACGCAGGCGAUCCGAGCAGCGCCAGCUAGUGGCAACAGGGCGGAUAAUGCCUGGGAUGACCGCGGACCCGGCAGGGCCGGGAUCCACUGUCCCAGCAGGAGAAUAGGCACUGAGCUAUCCACGGCAGAAGCUGACAGCGCUAAGCAGCUGCCUGCUGUCCCUCAAGUGAGGGCUGGGUGGCAGUGGGGUCUGAGCGAGUCAGACGACUCCCAGCACGAUGAACGAGUGGCAGCAGGGCUGUGCUGGUGUGGCCUGCACACAGCAAACCCGGACUCCCGGGGUGAAGGGAUUCUGUACAGAGCUACACCAUGACCCGGGGUGGGAGGCUCUAUGCCCAUGUGCAGGUAGCCAGUGAAGGCCGGGAUGCAGAGGACUGCCCCAGGAGGGAGGGGAAUUCUGGACAAGCCUUGAAGGGUGGCCUGCCAUGCCGCGCCAGGAGAGCUGAGGGCUCCUCAGUGGAGGUGCCUGGAGGAUGCAGAGCAGUGACCCGCGCUUCCUGGUGGGCAGCUGGCUGGGGCAGUCCCCUGGGUCCCUGGGGCCUCGGCAGGAGCCGGGAAGAAGAGACGGCGUCACAAGCCGCCUCCCCAGGCAGGGAGAUAGUGUGCAGAGGCUUCCUGGAACGACUCCCCAGGUCUGGUCCCUCUCAUGCAGGAGCCCUGGCCUUUUCGAGGCCACCCCUGGGUCUCCCCCAGUCCCCGCACAGUUAAUACACAGGGACCAAGCCACGCCCAGCCCCACCCCCUGCCAGCACUGCAGAGACUGACAGUGAGGGGCGUGAACGAGGCGGGAGUCCAGAUCUGUCACGCAUGCUGCCAAGGGGCCCAGCCCAAGCUCUCACAGCCCUCCCUCCUAGGGACCCCCGCACCCUCCUUCACACGGACCCCCGCUGCUGCUCGAGAGACACCGGCCUCUGGUCCACCCACCACAGAGCCCGUUCCUCGUUUACAGACCUGGCCGAGUGAGCCUGGGGUAGGAGUCAGGGCAGCCCCGGAAGACUGAGCUUCCAUGAGGCGGCACUGAGCCAAGGCCCGGCUCCUGUGCUGCCCGUGGUUCAGCUGUGUCUGGGCGUGGACCUCGGCCUGGCUGCUCCGCCUUCCCUUGGAUUUUCUGGGCCCAUGUUCAGUUUGCCCUGAACCAGCUGGGGCUGGGGUCCGCCUCUG
Chinchilla lanigera (long-tailed chinchilla) is the source of this 4204-nucleotide long non-coding RNA. The record is from Ensembl. NCBI's taxonomy places the organism in Eukaryota, Metazoa, Chordata, Mammalia, Rodentia, Chinchillidae.